Molecule: ribosomal RNA, 427 nt
Filed under: uncultured bacterium
Lineage: Bacteria
Description: bacterial SSU rRNA
Rfam family: Bacterial small subunit ribosomal RNA
Source: RNAcentral
UGGGGAAUUUUGGACAAUGGGCGAAAGCCUGAUCCAGCAAUGCCGCGUGUGUGAAGAAGGCCUUCGGGUUGUAAAGCACUUUUGUCCGGAGAGAAAUCCUCUGGGUUAAUACCUCGGGGGGAUGACGGUACCGGAAGAAUAAGCACCGGCUAACUACGUGCCAGCAGCCGCGGUAAUACGUAGGGUGCAAGCGUUAAUCGGAAUUACCGGGCGUAAAGCGUGCGCAGGCGGUUUUGUAAGACGGAUGUGAAAUCCCCGGGCUUAACCUGGGAACUGCAUUCGUGACUGCAAGGCUAGAGUAUGGCAGAGGGGGGUAGAAUUCCACGUGUAGCAGCGAAAUGCGUAGAGAUGUGGAGGAAUACCGAUGGCGAAGGCAGCCCCCUGGGCCAAUACUGACGCUCAUGCACGAAAGCGUGGGGAGCAAACA